RNAcentral lists this ribosomal RNA (137 nucleotides) under uncultured bacterium. Its description in RNAcentral is "partial 16S ribosomal RNA". It matches the Rfam family "Bacterial small subunit ribosomal RNA", at positions 355 to 509 of the family's 1533-position model. The record is from RNAcentral.
UAGGGAAUCUUUCACAAUGGGCGAAAGCCUGAUGGAGCAACGCCGCGUGCAGGAUGAAGGCCUUCGGGUUAUAAACUGCUUUUAUAAGCGAGAAAUAUGAUGGUAACUUAUGAAUAAGGAUCGGCUAACUACGUGCC